AACGAACGCUGGCGGCAUGCUUAACACAUGCAAGUCGAACGAGACCUUCGUGUCUAGUUGCGUUUUGGUGCGUAACGCGUGGGAACCUGCCCUUAGGUUCGGAAUAACUCUCCGAAAGGGUUGCUAAUACCGGUUAAUGUCUUCGGACAAAAGAUUUUUCGCGUUUGGAUGGGCCGGCGUUGGAUUAGCCAGGUGGUACGGUAAAAGCAUACCAAGGCGAAGAUUCAGACCUGGUCUGAGAGCAUGAUCAGCCACCCUAGGACUAAGACACGGACCAGACAGGUACGGGAGGCAGCGGUGGAGAGUAUUAGCCAAUGAACGAGAGCCUAGGAAAGCAACGCCGCGUGAGUGAUGAAGGCCUUAGGAUUGUAAAGCUCUUUUACCCGGAAUGAUAAUGACAGUACCGGGAGAAUAAGCUCCGGCUAACUCCGUG
RNAcentral lists this ribosomal RNA (433 nucleotides) under uncultured bacterium. RNAcentral's name for it is "partial 16S ribosomal RNA". It matches the Rfam family "Bacterial small subunit ribosomal RNA", at positions 29 to 507 of the family's 1533-position model. The record is from RNAcentral.